UACGAAGGGUGCGAGCGUUGUUCGGAAUUACUGGGCGUAAAGGGUUCGUAGGCGGGAUAGUGUGUCUGAUGUGAAAACCCUGGGCUCAACCUGGGACGUGCAUCAGAAACUGCGAUUCUUGAGUUUUGGAGAGGGUGGUGGAAUUGCUGGUGUAGGAGUGACAUCCGUAGAGAUCAGCAGGAACGCCGGAGGCGAAAGCGACCACCUGGCCAAGGACUGACGCUGAGGAACGAAAGCGUGGGGAGCAAACAGG
This 253-nucleotide ribosomal RNA is filed under the name uncultured bacterium. RNAcentral describes it as "partial 16S ribosomal RNA". It matches the Rfam family "Bacterial small subunit ribosomal RNA", at positions 524 to 776 of the family's 1533-position model. The record is from RNAcentral.